Molecule: ribosomal RNA, 253 nt
Filed under: uncultured bacterium
Lineage: Bacteria
Description: partial 16S ribosomal RNA
Rfam family: Bacterial small subunit ribosomal RNA
Source: RNAcentral
GACAGAGGGUGCGAGCGUUAAUCGGAGUGACUGGGCGUAAAGAGCGCGCAGGCGGUCGUUCAAGUCGAGUGUGAAAGCCCCCGGCUCAACUGGGGAGGGUCAUUCGAUACUGAUCGACUCGAAGGCAGGAGAGGGAAGUGGAAUUCCCGGUGUAGUGGUGAAAUGCGUAGAUAUCGGGAGGAACACCAGUGGCGAAGGCGACUUCCUGGCCUGUUCUUGACGCUGAGGCGCGAAAGCUAGGGGAGCAAACGGG